This 1369-nucleotide ribosomal RNA is filed under the name uncultured bacterium. Its description in RNAcentral is "bacterial SSU rRNA". It matches the Rfam family "Bacterial small subunit ribosomal RNA", at positions 28 to 1381 of the family's 1533-position model. The record is from RNAcentral.
GACGAACGCUGGCGGCGUGCCUAAUACAUGCAAGUAGAACGCUGAAGAGAGGAGCUUGCUCUUCUUGGAUGAGUUGCGAACGGGUGAGUAACGCGUAGGUAACCUGCCUUGUAGCGGGGGAUAACUAUUGGAAACGAUAGCUAAUACCGCAUAACAAUGGAUGACACAUGUCAUUUAUUUGAAAGGGGCAAUUGCUCCACUACAAGAUGGACCUGCGUUGUAUUAGCUAGUAGGUGAGGUAAUGGCUCACCUAGGCGACGAUACAUAGCCGACCUGAGAGGGUGAUCGGCCACACUGGGACUGAGACACGGCCCAGACUCCUACGGGAGGCAGCAGUAGGGAAUCUUCGGCAAUGGGGGCAACCCUGACCGAGCAACGCCGCGUGAGUGAAGAAGGUUUUCGGAUCGUAAAGCUCUGUUGUAAGUCAAGAACGGGUGUGAGAGUGGAAAGUUCACACUGUGACGGUAGCUUACCAGAAAGGGACGGCUAACUACGUGCCAGCAGCCGCGGUAAUACGUAGGUCCCGAGCGUUGUCCGGAUUUAUCGGGCGUAAAGCGAGCGCAGGCGGUUUGAUAAGUCUGAAGUUAAAGGCUGUGGCUCAACCAUAGUUCGCUUUGGAAACUGUCAAACUUGAGUGCAGAAGGGGAGAGUGGAAUUCCAUGUGUAGCGGUGAAAUGCGUAGAUAUAUGGAGGAACACCGGUGGCGAAAGCGGCUCUCUGGUCUGUAACUGACGCUGAGGCUCGAAAGCGUGGGGAGCGAACAGGAUUAGAUACCCUGGUAGUCCACGCCGUAAACGAUGAGUGCUAGGUGUUGGAUCCUUUCCGGGAUUCAGUGCCGCAGCUAACGCAUUAAGCACUCCGCCUGGGGAGUACGACCGCAAGGUUGAAACUCAAAGGAAUUGACGGGGGCCCGCACAAGCGGUGGAGCAUGUGGUUUAAUUCGAAGCAACGCGAAGAACCUUACCAGGUCUUGACAUCCCGAUGCUAUUUCUAGAGAUAGAAAGUUACUUCGGUACAUCGGUGACAGGUGGUGCAUGGUUGUCGUCAGCUCGUGUCGUGAGAUGUUGGGUUAAGUCCCGCAACGAGCGCAACCCCUAUUGUUAGUUGCCAUCAUUCAGUUGGGCACUCUAGCGAGACUGCCGGUAAUAAACCGGAGGAAGGUGGGGAUGACGUCAAAUCAUCAUGCCCCUUAUGACCUGGGCUACACACGUGCUACAAUGGUUGGUACAACGAGUUGCGAGUCGGUGACGGCGAGCUAAUCUCUUAAAGCCAAUCUCAGUUCGGAUUGUAGGCUGCAACUCGCCUACAUGAAGUCGGAAUCGCUAGUAAUCGCGGAUCAGCACGCCGCGGUGAAUACGUUCCCGGGCCU